CCGGGGUUUCUUUACCAGGUACUGUCAUUAUCAUCCCUGGCGAAAGUGCUUUACGACCCUAAGGCCUUCAUCACACACGCGGCAUGGCUAGAUCAGGCUUGCGCCCAUUGUCUAAGAUUCCCCG
This 124-nucleotide ribosomal RNA is filed under the name uncultured bacterium. RNAcentral's name for it is "partial 16S ribosomal RNA". The record is from RNAcentral.